This 424-nucleotide ribosomal RNA is filed under the name uncultured bacterium. RNAcentral describes it as "bacterial SSU rRNA". It matches the Rfam family "Bacterial small subunit ribosomal RNA", at positions 355 to 796 of the family's 1533-position model. The record is from RNAcentral.
UAACGAAUCUUCCGCAAUGGGCGAAAGCCUGACGGAGCAAUGCCGCGUGUGGGAUGAAGCGCCUUCGGCGUGUAAACCACUGUCAGGGAACAGAAACAAUGAUCGCUCCCAAAGGAAGUGGCGACUAACUCUGUGCCAGCAGUCGCGGUAAUACAGAGGCCACAAGCGUUAGUCGGAAUCACUGGGCUUAAAGGGUGCGUAGGCGGAGUUGUAAGUGUUCUGUGAAAUCCCCCGGCUCAACCGGGGAACAGCAGGGCAUACUGCAAUUCUCGAGGAACGUAGGGGCGGGCAGAACAGUAGGUGGAGCGGUGAAAUGCGUAGAUAUCUACUGGAAUGCCGAUGGGGAAGCCGGCCCGCUGGGCGUUUCCUGACGCUGAGGCACGAAAGCGUGGGGAUCAAACAGGAUUAGAUACCCCGGUAGUCC